UACGAAGGGUGCAAGCGUUAAUCGGAAUUACUGGGCGUAAAGCGCGCGUAGGUGGCUUGAUAAGUUGGAUGUGAAAUCCCCGGGCUCAACCUGGGAACUGCGUCCAAAACUGUCUGGCUAGAGUGUGGUAGAGGGUAGUGGAAUUUCCAGUGUAGCGGUGAAAUGCGUAGAUAUUGGAAGGAACACCAGUGGCGAAGGCGACUACCUGGACUAACACUGACACUGAGGUGCGAAAGCGUGGGGAGCAAACAGG
RNAcentral lists this ribosomal RNA (253 nucleotides) under uncultured bacterium. RNAcentral describes it as "partial 16S ribosomal RNA". It matches the Rfam family "Bacterial small subunit ribosomal RNA", at positions 524 to 776 of the family's 1533-position model. The record is from RNAcentral.